This 253-nucleotide ribosomal RNA is filed under the name uncultured bacterium. Its description in RNAcentral is "partial 16S ribosomal RNA". It matches the Rfam family "Bacterial small subunit ribosomal RNA", at positions 524 to 776 of the family's 1533-position model. The record is from RNAcentral.
UACGGAGGGGGCAAGCGUUAUUCGGAAUUAUUGGGCGUAAAGAGCGUGUAGGCGGCCAGAUAAGUCCGCUGUGAAAUCUCGAGGCUCAACUUCGAGCUGUCGGUGGAAACUAUCUGGCUAGAGUCCGGAAGAGGAGAAUGGAAUUCCUGGUGUAGCGGUGAAAUGCGCAGAUAUCAGGAAGAACACCCGUGGCGAAGGCGGUUCUCUGGGACGGUACUGACGCUGAGACGCGAAAGCGUGGGGAGCGAACAGG